RNAcentral lists this ribosomal RNA (446 nucleotides) under uncultured bacterium. RNAcentral's name for it is "partial 16S ribosomal RNA". It matches the Rfam family "Bacterial small subunit ribosomal RNA", at positions 338 to 795 of the family's 1533-position model. The record is from RNAcentral.
CCUACGGGUGGCAGCAGUCGAGAAUCAUUCACAAUGGGGGAAACCCUGAUGGUGCGACGCCGCGUGGGGGAAUGAAGGUCUUCGGAUUGUAAACCCCUGUCAUGUGGGAGCAAAUUUAAAAGAUAGUACCACAAGAGGAAGAGACGGCUAACUCUGUGCCAGCAGCCGCGGUAAUACAGAGGUCUCAAGCGGUGUUCGGAAUCACUGGGCGUAAAGCGUGCGUAGGCUGUUUCGUAAGUCGUGUGUGAAAGGCGCGGGCUCAACCCGCGGACGGCACAUGAUACUGCGAGACGAGAGUAAGGGAGGGGGAACCGGAAUUCUCGGUGUAGCAGUGAAAUGCGUAGAUAUCGAGAGGAACACUCGUGGCGAAGGCGGGUUCCUGGACAUUAACUGACGCUGAGGCACGAAGGCCAGGGGAGCGAAAGGGAUUAGAUACCCGAGUAGUC